UUGGAAUCUUCCNCAAUGGAGGAAACUCUGAUGCAGCGAUGCCGCGUGAGUGAAGAAGGCCUUUGGGUUGUAAAGCUCUUUUGUAGGGGAAGAUAAUGACUGUACCCUAAGAAUAAGGUCCGGCUAACUUCGUGCCAGCAGCCGCGGUAAUACGAAGGGACCUAGCGUAGUUCGGAAUUACUGGGCGUAAAGCGCGCGUAGGCCGUUGAGUUAGUUAAUUGUGAAAUCCCAAAGCUUAACUUUGGAACUGCAAUUAAAACUGCUCGACUAGAGUUUGAUAGAGGAAAGCGGAAUACAUAGUGUAGAGGUGAAAUUCGUAGAUAUUAUGUAGAACACCAGUUGCGAAGGCGGCUUUCUGGAUCAACACUGACGCUGAGGCGCGAAAGUAUGGGUAGCAAAGAGGAUUAGAUACCCUCGUAGUCCAUACCAUAAACGAUGAUUGCUAGAUGUUGGAAAUUUAUUUUCAGUAUCGCAGCUAACGCAUUAAGCAAGCCGCCUG
RNAcentral lists this ribosomal RNA (499 nucleotides) under uncultured bacterium. RNAcentral describes it as "bacterial SSU rRNA". It matches the Rfam family "Bacterial small subunit ribosomal RNA", at positions 356 to 875 of the family's 1533-position model. The record is from RNAcentral.